RNAcentral lists this ribosomal RNA (253 nucleotides) under uncultured bacterium. RNAcentral describes it as "partial 16S ribosomal RNA". It matches the Rfam family "Bacterial small subunit ribosomal RNA", at positions 524 to 776 of the family's 1533-position model. The record is from RNAcentral.
UACGUAGGGUCCGAGCGUUGUCCGGAGUGACUGGGCGUAAAGCGCGCGCAGGCGGCCUGUUAGGCACGACGUGAAAUCCCCCGGCUCAACCGGGGAAUUGCGCGUGAUACUGGCGAACUCGAGGCGGGUAGGGGUGAGCGGAACUCCAGGUGGAGCGGUGAAAUGCGUAGAUAUCUGGAGGAACACCGGUGGCGAAGGCGGCUUGCUGGGCAUGAUCUGACGCUGAGGCGCGAAAGCGUGGGGAGCAAACAGG